Molecule: ribosomal RNA, 254 nt
Filed under: uncultured bacterium
Lineage: Bacteria
Description: partial 16S ribosomal RNA
Rfam family: Bacterial small subunit ribosomal RNA
Source: RNAcentral
UACGUAGGGUGCGAGCGUUGCCCGGAUUUAUUGGGCGUAAAGGGCGCGUAGGCGGCUCGGCACGUCCGUUGUGAAAUCGCCCGGCUCAACUGGGCGGGGUCAGCGGAUACGGUCGAGCUUGAGCAAGCUAGGGGGCAAUGGAAUUCCCGGUGUAGUGGUGGAAUGCGUAGAUAUCGGGAGGAACACCAGUGGCGAAGGCGACUUUCUGGUCUGUAACUGACACUGAGGCGCGAAAGCGUGGGGAGCAAACAGGG